AAACCGGAUUUUAUCAAAUCCACCCAUACGUCAAAGAAGCUCGCA
Phaeodactylum tricornutum CCAP 1055/1 is the source of this 45-nucleotide non-coding RNA. NCBI's taxonomy places the organism in Eukaryota, Bacillariophyta, Bacillariophyceae, Surirellales, Neidiaceae. The record is from Rfam.